CGCGUAGGCGGGACGACAAGUUAGGGGUGAAAGGCCUGGGCUCAACCUAGGAACUGCCUCUAAAACUGUCGUUCUGGAGUCCGGGAGAGGAUGGCGGAAUUCCCAGUGUAGAGGUGAAAUUCGUAGAUAUUGGGAAGAACACCGGUGGCGAAGGCGGCCAUCUGGUCCGGCACUGACGCUGAGGCGCGAAAGCGUGGGGAGCAAACA
This 207-nucleotide ribosomal RNA is filed under the name uncultured bacterium. Its description in RNAcentral is "partial 16S ribosomal RNA". It matches the Rfam family "Bacterial small subunit ribosomal RNA", at positions 568 to 774 of the family's 1533-position model. The record is from RNAcentral.